GGGGAUAGAGGUGUAACUUGUGCUCUAGUGAAAAUCUCAUCACUCAUUCUCAUCAAUCUUUGUACUUGAAUGCAGAACCUGUUGCCACAGAGGGACCAGUUGCUGAAGUUUGGUGACUCUGUUUACUCCUUGCAGUAUUUAGCCCUGAUGCUAACUAUUUAAAAUAGAAAAUCUGAAAUGGUGGCUAGCUAUUGACUUGAUUGCUGCAUAUCAGAAGACUAUCAUGGUGAUAUUGGCUCUGUGAGAUGACUUGGAAGCUGUUUCUUCAGUACAGGUCUUGUUUUUGCAGCUGGGGCACCUUGAUGAAGACUGUGCAACAGAACUUGCUGUGUUUCACAACCGGAGCAGAGAGAGUAUAUCAGCAUUAAUAUCAGAGGUACAGAAAAUAAUGAGAACAAUCUACCUACAAGGGGAAGAAGUUCUUCCAUGUUAGUCUGUGAUAUUUUCACAGUCCUUUAUCAGAGGACUUCUAAUGCCUUGAAGGUUCGUGGCAAGCGCAUCCACUUAAGAAUUCCAUCACAAGCGACAUGCCAGUACAACACAGCCAGCAAGCUGGGGAAGAAUCUCAACUGAACACUUCUUUUCAGUCUGAAAAGGCUGUGACAUCUGAAGAUGUGCCAGGUUGCUGCCAUGUGCCACAUGCGUUUGGAUCCAUGGAAUUUUCUGAUGGAACUUCAUUGUUUGAAGAAUCUCCGCUAGAAGAGUUUGUUCUAAAUACUCACAGAACAAAGCAGGUGUCUGAAGAUCCAGUGCUAGUUUCUGACAGAAAAAAUACAAUUCUUAAUCCAGAAAUCUGCUUCUCAGUGUGUAUAAUGCUUAUUACAUAUUUAAGUACCUAGUGGACCUUGACCAAAGGGAGAUACAGAUUGAGCAAAGAAGUAUGUUGAGCAUAAAUUGUGAUGCCUUCUACCUGAAAGCCAUGGUUCAUUUGAUGAGAACCUUAACUUCAGUGUUCGGUUUGCACUGAAACAGCGAGUAAGGAAACAAGCGAAGGAGUCAGUGAGGAUUUUAAAACAAAAUGGGAAGUGAUAAGGCACAGUUAAUAAGAUUUUGGAGUUAGGCAAGAGAUGGACAGAGCUUUAAGGGUACCGAUAGAAAUUCAAUCUCUCUGUAUUGGACAAGAAAACCCACAGUGAAGCAAUUCAAAUUUUGCAGCUAAAAAAGUGAUAAUUCAUAGCUAUGUUUAGAUAAGCUGGUGAGGAGUAAUCUUAAAUGUAGAAUUUAGAUGAACAGAUAGAAAAAUGGCACUUGACAAUCUAUAAGAAGUAAACUCAUUUUAGGGGAGAAUCAGAGGUACUGAAGAGUUUUUAACUACUUUGCUCAAUAGACAAGUAGUGUAUGAUGUUUUUAUAAGCAUCGUGUCUGACCUGCUUAGAUGUUAGAAUUUCCUUGACAGUGACUUCUCUGGAUGUGAUUGCAGUACCUGGCAGCAUUCAAGGUGUGAUACUCAGCUGGGUGAUAUGGAAUUCACAC
Molecule: long non-coding RNA, 1473 nt
Organism: Lagopus leucura (white-tailed ptarmigan)
Lineage: Eukaryota; Metazoa; Chordata; Aves; Galliformes; Phasianidae
Exons: 4
Source: RefSeq, a predicted model, not a curated record